This 1413-nucleotide long non-coding RNA is filed under the name Equus caballus (horse). RNAcentral's name for it is "lncRNA (ENSECAG00000044973.1)". The record is from RNAcentral. Lineage: Eukaryota; Metazoa; Chordata; Mammalia; Perissodactyla; Equidae.
ACCGUGCUUACGCGUCUCUCCCUGUCACUCCACACAAUCCUUCCCUCUGCCCCUGAGCCUUGCAGGCUGGGACUGUGGCUUGCUCAGUGUGUAUCCCCAGCACUCUGGAUGGUGCCAGGCAUGCAGGAGGGACCGGGUUCUACAUCAACCUGAGCUCUGGGAGUGACAUCACCUUCCACCUGAACCCCCGUUUCGAUGAGAACACCAGGGUCCGCAACACACAGAUCAACAGCUCUUGGGGACAUGUGGAGAAAAGCCUGUCUGGAAAAAUAACCUUCACCUGAGGCCGGAGCUUCUCAGUAAGCUGCUGCAGCCUGCAGCACAGAGGAGGUUUCACAGGGCAAAUGGAGCAGGGGGUGGGGGUGUCUGGGGCCCCUCAAACAAGAUGGGAGCUGAUGCCUCUGGGGUGAGGGCUGCCCCCUGAAGAAGAGAACAUGUUCAGCCAGUUGUUGUUAUUAUUUUACCGUUACUGUCCCACAUCAGGUAGAUGGUGCUAUCUGCUCUUUACAGAUGAGGAAACAGACACACAAGUGCGGGUUACUGGCCUGAGGUCACACAGCGAUAAGUGUCAGAUGGAGCCCAAGAAUGAGGCGUCCUCCCUUUAUUCACUCACUCACUCAUUCAUUCCGCAAUCAUUUCAGCUAUGCUAUCAGGGCUCACUUUGUGCAGGAAGCACCCUGGGUGCUGGGGGUACAGCAUGGAGCAGACAAAUGAGGUCCUGCCCCACGGAGUCUGCAGUUUAGGAGGCAGAGGAACCAGAACACAGACACACAGACAGAGCCUUGCAGAUACGAACAGGUGCUCUGCAGAAAGCAAACAGAAUAGAGGGAUAGAGUGAGCCCCGAGGAAGGGGCCGCACUGCAUUAGACGGGGACAGCUCUCUGAGGAGGCCACCGUGCCGUCGAGACCCCAGUGGCAGUAGGAGCCGCCUGGCAAAGAUCUGAGGGUGCAUUGAGGCAGGCAGCAGAGGGAGCAGCUGUUACUCCAGAGGCGGAUCCUGGGCGUGGCCUGUCCAGGACCAGGGGGCGGGGGCUCCCAGGUGGACAGUGAGGACAGAGAGGUGUGGGUGAGGCGGCUGAGGCUGGGCUCACACAGAGCAGGUGUUCUCAGCCCAGACCACACAGUCAAACCCCUGGGAGCUUAAAGAAGGAAAAUCCAUGCCUGGACCCGCACCGGGCCAAUGAGGGGGUGAACGUGGGCCUCCGUAUUUUUAAAUCCACCCUGAUGCUGCUCUCUCAGUGAUGAAAUGACUGAUGUCAGGCUGUGAGGGCCUUGGAAAGAGCCGGGAUUUUAGCACAGUGAGUUGGUGUGUUUCAAGCCAGAGGGCGAUAUGCUUUGAUUUCUAGAUAGCUUUGUGAGUUUGAGCAAGUGAGUUAACUCCUCUGCGCCUCAGUUUCCUCAUCUAAAAAUGGG